AGAGUUUGAUCAUGGCUCAGGACGAACGCUGGCGGCGUGCCUAAUACAUGCAAGUCGAGCGGACAGAUGGGAGCUUGCUCCCUGAUGUUAGCGGCGGACGGGUGAGUAACACGUGGGUAACCUGCCUGUAAGACUGGGAUNAACUCCGGGAAACCGGGGCUAAUACCGGAUGGUUGUUUGAACCGCAUGGUUCAAACAUAAAAGGUGGCUUUGGCUACCACUUACAGAUGGACCCGCGGCGCAUUAGCUAGUUGGUGAGGUAACGGCUCACCAAGGCAACGAUGCGUAGCCGACCUGAGAGGGUGAUCGGCCACACUGGGACUGAGACACGGCCCAGACUCCUACGGGAGGCAGCAGUAGGGAAUCUUCCGCAAUGGACGAAAGUCUGACGGAGCAACGCCGCGUGAGUGAUGAAGGUUUUCGGAUCGUAAAGCUCUGUUGUUAGGGAAGAACAAGUACCGUUCAAAU
This 468-nucleotide ribosomal RNA is filed under the name Bacillus subtilis. Its description in RNAcentral is "bacterial SSU rRNA". It matches the Rfam family "Bacterial small subunit ribosomal RNA", at positions 8 to 465 of the family's 1533-position model. Lineage: Bacteria; Bacillati; Bacillota; Bacilli; Caryophanales; Bacillaceae. The record is from RNAcentral.